UACGGAGGGUGCAAGCGUUGUCCGGAAUCACUGGGCGUAAAGGGCGCGUAGGCGGGCUAUCAAGUCUGGGGUGAAAUCCCGCGGCUCAACCGUGGAACUGCCUUAGAUACUGACGGCCUUGAGGGAGGUAGGGGCAUGCGGAACUUCCGGUGGAGCGGUGAAAUGCGUAGAUAUCGGAAGGAACGCCGGUGGCGAAAGCGGCGUGCUGGACCUCUUCUGACGCUGAGGCGCGAAAGCCAGGGGAGCGAACGGG
This 253-nucleotide ribosomal RNA is filed under the name uncultured bacterium. RNAcentral describes it as "partial 16S ribosomal RNA". It matches the Rfam family "Bacterial small subunit ribosomal RNA", at positions 524 to 776 of the family's 1533-position model. The record is from RNAcentral.